RNAcentral lists this ribosomal RNA (139 nucleotides) under uncultured bacterium. RNAcentral's name for it is "partial 16S ribosomal RNA". It matches the Rfam family "Bacterial small subunit ribosomal RNA", at positions 355 to 509 of the family's 1533-position model. The record is from RNAcentral.
UGGGGAAUAUUGGGCAAUGGGCGAAAGCCUGACCCAGCAACGCCGCGUGAAGGAAGAAGGCUUUCGGGUUGUAAACUUCUUUUGACAGGGAAGAGCAGAAGACGGUACCUGUCGAAUAAGCCACGGCUAACUACGUGCC